Cervus elaphus (red deer) is the source of this 491-nucleotide long non-coding RNA. RefSeq lists it as uncharacterized. The transcript has 3 exons. Lineage: Eukaryota; Metazoa; Chordata; Mammalia; Artiodactyla; Cervidae. The record is from RefSeq and is a predicted model, not a curated record.
AGUAAGAGUCAUAACUGAAAAUUCUGGAAGAGAAUUCUUGUUAUUGACAAAUGAAUAUAAAAAACAAAUAUUUAUCACGAUACUUUUGUACUUUGGGAACAAAAAAAAGGAAAAUAAAGUGGACAAUUCAAUCUGAGAAACAGGCUAGAAAAUUCAGCUACGGAGGGAAAGAUGGAGACUUAGCCCUGAAUGAUCUCAUCCAAAAGCAACAAAAAAGACAGGAUUAGAUCUGAUUCCCAAGUUUGUAGGAUCUUAGCUCCCCAACCAAGGAUCAAACCUGGGCCUCUGCAGUGGAAGCAUGGCGUCUUAACCACUGAACCAUCAGGAAGUCCCCUGAAAACGUGUUAACGUAUGAAACAGUUUUUAUUUCCCCAGAGACGCGUGGGAAUUCCAGUUAUCACACUCGGAAUCUCGUCUUUGUACCUUUCGCCAUUCUCGAGGGAGGGCAGUGCUACGCUGCUGAUUUGCUACCCGCCGUUACCCACGGCAAC